Molecule: long non-coding RNA, 2114 nt
Filed under: Theobroma cacao (cacao)
Lineage: Eukaryota; Viridiplantae; Streptophyta; Magnoliopsida; Malvales; Malvaceae
Description: long non-coding RNA (TCAC_LNC002409)
Source: RNAcentral
GUCAGUGGAGUGACUUUGGGCACGAUUGAUAACACUUGUGUCACGUUAAACCUACCGAGCAAUGUAUAGGGAGGAGCACCUCGUUCUAGGAUCCAAUCACCUUUAACUCAGGAAACCUAAAACAUGAAUUUUGAAAACGUGAGUACAAACUCAGUGAGUGAACAUAGGAGGGGAACAAGCAACAUUAAUGAAGGUUUUAGAAAACAUGAUGUACUUGUUUCAAAAAAAAUGCAAUUGAAUUAAUUUCUUACUAAAAACCCCUCACUCAAACCCUUGGUCGGUUAGUCAUUUGAUGACAAAAAACUCAUGAACAACAAAGAAGUUGAGAAGUAUACACUUUAGUAGAAUUCAAGCAAGUCAAGCAUAAUAUAUUGACUCUCACCGCAGCGAAAAGGCAUUCUCGUUGCAAUAAAAUUCUAGCCAGAUAAAAUCCAAGGGGUUUUCAAUGCCACCAGGAAUAUCCACUCAUGCCACAUUGCACAUUAAAUUGAACACAUUGACAAUACUCAAGUUUUCAUUAUUCAUUUCAAUCAUAUAUUAUAAUCAUAAACUUUCUAUCACAUAUACAUAUAGAAACAUAUAUAAACACGUACACCACCCUACUUCAUUCAUCGUCAUGUGCACUACUUACUCGCACAUUUCCAUAUCAUUAUCAUCAUCAUCAUCAUCAUCAUCAUCAUGUGCACUCCCUACUCGCACAUAGCGGGGUCAUCAUCAGCUCAUGUGCACUCCCUACAUCAGCACACAGCUAGAAUUCCCCACCGGUCCUCAACUCAUGUGCAGUCCCUACAUCUGUACAUAGCUAGGUCAUCAUCAGCUCAUGUGCACUCCCUACAUUCGCACAUAGCUGGGUCAUCAUUAGCUCAUCAUUAUUCAUCAAUGCACAACAUAUAUUUAUAUACAUACAUGCCAACAUAAUAUAGGAGCACACGGAUUCAUCCUUUUACACAUUUCACAUUUUCACAACAUCGAGACAUUUUUAUCACGGGCUUGUUACCUGGCACACAUUUUUAAAGAAAGGAUAGAUAAAAUCAUUCAAAUGUUUCACCCAAAUACAUUUACAUUUCCCAAAGCAAAUUUUGAAAUGCAAGUUCACUCAGCUGGCAACAAUGAGAUAUUAAGUCGCUAUUUGUUCGAAGGUGUCUCUAACUAUUUUCACUGGUCGGUCGCUCGUUAUUUACUCCAGCACACCACCACAGUUCUUUAACCUUAUUUUUGCACUCAAUAUAUUUAAUUACAUACAUAUACAGGCAGCACUUCAAUCAAGUAAUCCUUACUCAAAUUUAUAUUUUUCAUCCUAUCAUGAAACCAUAUUCAAUUUACUCACAUCUUAAUACAUUUUUACCAAAAUUACUUAUAUCCAUUGCUUUCGAAAUUCCUUAGAUUAUAUCACCGAUAACUUAUUUAUGAUGUCACGCGCCUACUUCAACCUUUCUAAAUAAUUUUCACCAAAUCAAUCUUAUAUUUCCACACAUAAUCCACAUAUAUGGCAGCAACAAUCAUUCUCACUUUCACUUGAUUAUUUCCUAGUUUACAUGUAUCGUUAUCUAUCUAACUUUCAAUACUUUGUUUCUCAAUCCUCCAUACACAAUAUUCCUUUUUCAUUUCUUUCAAACAACAUGCCAUACAAUCUUAAUAAUUUUCAACUAGCUUAGGCAAAUAAAUCCUUUCAACAACCAUAAUUCCUCACAAUAUUCAACUAACCAUAGGCUUUAAAACAUAGUGUUAAGCUUACCAUUUUCCUUUUCCACUUUGGGUCCUUCAUGUACCCAUGGGUUUAUUGGCUUACAUGUUACCAAAUUUUCUCCAAUCAAGCCAAUCUUUGCUGCCACAAGACAUUUCUCUAAGUCACUAACUCAUUUUCAAGGACUACUCGAGCCAAAAACAAGAAUUCUUACUGUUCCUUGCUUGAAUCACCAAAAUCAAGCUUUUUCUUCUUUUCUCUCUUUUUCUUUCUUAUCCUCCUAGGGUUUAGAUGUGCUGGAAAUUGGGGUUAAAGACUGUAAAUUUAGUGCUUAAGAAGUUUGGAGAAGAAAGGAAAAGAAAACAUGAAAAGGAAAGUGAAGAAAACUUGAUUUCAUGGCGACAAAGAGAAAAUGGCAUGGAAGCUUCAA